This 253-nucleotide ribosomal RNA is filed under the name uncultured bacterium. RNAcentral's name for it is "partial 16S ribosomal RNA". It matches the Rfam family "Bacterial small subunit ribosomal RNA", at positions 524 to 776 of the family's 1533-position model. The record is from RNAcentral.
UACAGAGGUCUCAAGCGUUGUUCGGAUUCAUUGGGCGUAAAGGGUGCGUAGGCGGUGGGGCAAGUCAGGUGUGAAAUCCCGGUGCUCAACUCCGGAACUGCACUUGAUACUGCCUUGCUAGAGUACUGGAGAGGAGACUGGAAUUUACGGUGUAGCAGUGAAAUGCGUAGAGAUCGUAAGGAAGACCAGUGGCGAAGGCGAGUCUCUGGACAGUUACUGACGCUGAGGCACGAAGGCCAGGGGAGCAAACGGG